UUUCCAGCGAACAGUGAGCAAGCAAAUCGCGUGUCUACGUAAAUUGAAAAUUUACCGUGACCCUCGCAGUAAUAUCUAUGCAAAUGGUGAAACGGCUUUAAUGGUAUUUUUAUGGAACGGGUUUUACGAAAUAAUAGCGGAUGAUCGGUAGAAAAGUAAACGAACGUGGUCAUGACUUCUAACGCAUGCUUUCCUGGAAGCAAUUAAAGGGUAGUCUUAGUGCUUGAUGACCCUCGUUUGUUCUUAGAAACUAUCGCAUAGAUCAAUAUUUGACGACCUUCGGAUUUAGGUUUGUUAAACCUAUGGAAUCCCUGCUGAACCUCAUAAAUCCCUAAAACUCAUUCUCCACAAAGGGAACAGAGGGUCUCCGUUAUGUUUAGGAUCGUUUUCCCAUUUCAAGGAACGCAAUUUAUUAUUUUAUCACAUUAUAGGUUUUAUUGAAAAGACAUGCUUGUACCAGACGCCAUUUACUUUUAUUCGACUGUAAUUAAAAUUUAUUUGACGAUUUUACUGGACAGUAUUCCAUGAUUGGCGAAUUCCUCCAGUAAUUAUAGAUUGUUACGUCGAGAAUCACGUCAAGUAAAAUGAAUGAACUUUUACAAGGAUUUUCCUUCCAACCUUAUAAUUAAUCUUAAAGUCUUAAAUUAAUAGGUAUCUUAUGUCGCUCUGACUAAUUGAAAAUAUAAAUUACAGAAUGGGAUUGCCAAUUGAAGGGAACUCGUAGAUCAGCUGGGGAGAUUGUCCCUGGAUUCGACUAACUUAUCAUUAUUUGAAUAGACAUUGAAUCACCAAGAAGAACUAUUCUUUCAUAAAUUACCUCUCAACCACCUUUCGGCUUCGUGCAGUACAAAAGGGGUGGGGAGUCACUCAUUCGGGGAAGGACAUUGAUAGGAACGCGAAGGUUUGUUCCUCCUCCUGUUUCUUCUUGGAUUCAGCAUCGAUGACGUGGCGUUUGUGGUGUCCUUCGAUCAGUCUGCAUCAGAUGCCUCCUCGAUUAUUCCUCAGACGUUUGUGGGCGUCGUUUUUUCCUGGACAAAUUCAACCAAUUCAAUUAUAACAUAUUCUCUACGUCAAUUAGAAAACCACCACACCUAUCAUCAG
Hylaeus volcanicus is the source of this 1101-nucleotide long non-coding RNA. RefSeq lists it as uncharacterized. The transcript is spliced from 2 exons. The record is from RefSeq and is a predicted model, not a curated record. Lineage: Eukaryota; Metazoa; Arthropoda; Insecta; Hymenoptera; Colletidae.